AGCCGUGUGGGGAGCACAAAGCGAACUAUUCUUUCGCCUUUUACUAAAGAAUACCGUGUGCCCCCCAUCCAAAACGGCAUACAUUUAUUUUUGGAGGAGCCGUUCCAUAAAUGGUUU
Small nuclear RNA from Vitis vinifera (wine grape), 117 nucleotides. It matches the Rfam family "U5 spliceosomal RNA". Rfam says of the family: U5 RNA is a component of both types of known spliceosome. The precise function of this molecule is unknown, though it is known that the 5' loop is required for splice site selection and p220 binding, and that both the 3' stem-loop and the Sm site are important for Sm protein binding and cap methylation. NCBI's taxonomy places the organism in Eukaryota, Viridiplantae, Streptophyta, Magnoliopsida, Vitales, Vitaceae. The record is from Rfam.